This is a long non-coding RNA of Biomphalaria glabrata, 7447 nucleotides long. RefSeq lists it as uncharacterized. Lineage: Eukaryota; Metazoa; Mollusca; Gastropoda; Planorbidae. The record is from RefSeq and is a predicted model, not a curated record. The transcript has 4 exons.
AAAGAAUUUUUUAUUUUAGAAGAGUAACAUAAACAGAAUCUACAGCUGUCUAUCUAAAUUAUCAUGAGUUUGGAAAAACAAAUUCUGAAAUUCUCAGUUAUUCUGAAAUUCGAGAGAUACUAAACUCACUGUCAGUGUCUAAAAUGUGUAGCAGUUUGUUAGAUGAACAUGGACACAGCUGAAUGAUGAAAACAUACCCUGCCAAAAGUAUUGUUCCAGACACAAUGUCUAUCACUGGCAGUGAAGAUGAAUUGUAUACAGUAAACUUAUGGAAUGUCACAGAACCUAUCAUGCUUUUGGAAGAGAUAGAUUUAAUAAAAAAUAUGGAAUUGAGAAGAAGAAACAACAGAGACGCACAAAUUGCAUACCUCUGUCUCGUCUUCCUUGUUUGCCUUAUGUUGUUAUGCUUGUAUUUACUAAGAGGCUUCCAUAGUCGCAACACCUACAAGAGGGAUCAUUCCCUGCAUUAUAUGGAACAUUUGCCAUAUGUUAAUGAUGUAGUGUUGGCCAAGGCUAAGUAUCUGCCAAUGUUUCAUAAAGACAAUUUGUUUACCACAGUGUAUGUCCAUGAUUGUGGUACAGAUCCAUAACAAUUAUUUCUACUUGUUUUAUGUUGAUUCCUUUUUAUCAAUCCACUGAAAUAUUGUUGACAGUUAACAGAGGUAUUCAAGCUUUAGAAAAAAAUCUUCUAUUUACUUGGAUGUUGUUUAAAGUUUAUUGUAAAUUAAGUGCAAUUUAAAUUAUUGUUACAUUUUCAUUAAAAUGUUGUUGUUUUUAUAUCUCUAUUGAUGAAAUGGUGAGUUUGUUUCUUUAAGCCUGAUUCAUACAGUACUUUUUAUGGUGUGACCUAAAAUGCUUACAAUAUUUUUUUUUUUAGUUUAGUUAUAAAACUAAGCAACUUGUAAGACUAACAAACUAAGAAAGGUACAUCCCCACAAGAAUUCUUUUAUGCAUUUAAUUUGUACUUUGAUUUUUGUUUUAUAAUGUCAUAUAGAAAUGCCUUGUGAUAUUUUUUAGUGCCAUAUUGAGUAUUUUAAAUUGCAACUGUUAUGAUACUGUAACAUAAAUAUUUGGUUUUAGCUUUAGUUAGUAAGUUUUUCAUCAAGAUCUAGCAAUCCAUUUUGUAGUUCAGUUUACCUGUUUCUAAGUCAUCAUUGAACCAUGUUUAUUUUCCUCAGCAGAGAACAGGUACCCAUUCAAACUGGUGAAUUUUGGGGCUUUAGUCCAAAGUUGAAAUCAUGAAUAAAAUUCAUGGGAUUGCCUGUUGGAUUUACAGUAGAAUGAUUUUUCACUCCAUCCCCAAGCUUUUUGUAAGCUUUAUUUUUAACAGUGAUAAAAUUAGGAAAUAUAAGUCAUUUUUUGGAGGAGUUUUUUAAAAAGUAUUAUUAAUGUUGAGCAUUGGAUUCUUUUUCAGUUUCUGUUUUCUUAUCUUAUCUUAUCUUAUAUAAUACAGACGUUACUUCAAAAAAGAAGAUGAUUACGUCCUACGCGUCAUGCAUUUAGUCAUGCAUAUUAACCAAUGACUUAAAUUCUGCCAAGUCACUGGUUUUCCUGGCUAGCUCAGGCAACCCAUUCCAUGCUCUAAUAACACUAGGGAAGAAGGAGUAUUUGUACAAAUUGGUCCUAGCAUAUGGGACGAGGAAUGUGCCUUUAUCUUUGUGUCUUUCAGAGUAUUUUAUUAAAUUUUGUUUUUGUAUUUGAAGAUUAUGGUUCAGUGUUUUAUGUAUUAUUGCUACUUUACUUUUGAGCCUUCUGUCCUGAAGGCUUUCUAAAUUUAGUGAUUUUAAUAAAGGUGUUACUCUAGUCAAAUGUGAAUAUUCGUUUGUUAUGAAUCGCACUGCUCUAUUUUGUGUCUGUUCUAGUUUCUUAAUGUUUUCUUGAGUUGAGGGGUCCCAAACAGAGGAUGCAUAUUCUAUUAUUGGCCUAACCAAGGUUAAAUAACAUUUUAGUUUUAUGUUCUUAUUUGAUUUAUAGAAAUUUCUUUUAAUAAAUCCUAAUGCUUUGUUUGAUUUUUUUGUAGUUUCAUCAAUAUGUGGAUUCCAUGACAGUUUUUCAUUUAUUAUAACACCUAGGUAUUUUGCGUUUUUAGUCUGUGUUACUGGUUUGCCAUGAAUAAGAUAAGUGGAAUUAAUUUGUUUUAGUUUUUUUUGUUACUCUUAACAACUGACAUUUUUCUGGGUGGAAAGACAUGCUCCAAUUUGAUUCCCAUUUCUGUAAUUCAUCUAAUUUUCUUUGUAAAAUAUCUGUGUCUUGUGUUGUUUUUAUUGUUCUAUAUAUUAUGCAAUCGUCUGCAAAUAAUCUGACUUUUGUUCCUGAAGUAAUGCAAUUUGGUAAAUCAUUUAUGUAAAUUAAAAAUAGUAGUGGACCCAAGACUGUUCCUUGAGGUACACCUGAGUUUACUGUUAUCAGUGUUGAUUUAGAGCCAUUUAUUAUUACAGUUUGUUCUCUCCCUAUCAGAAAGUCUUUAAUCCACUGAUGCAGUGGACCAUUAAUGCCGAAAUAUUUUAAUUUUUUAAGCAAACUAUGGUGGUGAACUUUGUCAAAAGCCUUAGAAAAAUCUAGUAAGAUAGCAUCUAUUUGUUCGCUAUUAUCUAAACCUUUUGAAAAAUCAUCAAUUAGUCCUAUUAGUUGUGUUUCACAUGAUCUAUAUUUCCUAAAGCCAUGUUGGUAUGGUGUGGGGACAUUAUGUUUGUCUAAGUGGUUUAUAAUGUUGCUACAUAUUAUGUGUUCUAGGAUUUUACAUGUGAUGCUGGUAAGUGAUACUGGUCUGUAGUUUCCUGGGUCAGAUUUUUCUCCUUUUUUAAAUAGGGGGGUGACAUUAGCUUCUUUCCAGUCCUUUGGUACUCUGCCCUGGUUAAGUGAAGCCUGAAAGAGUAUUUUGAACACUGGGGCUAGCUCAUUACUUAGUUCUUUGAGUAAUCUAGCUGGAAUACCAUCAGGUCCAGAAGCUUUAUUUGGUUUGGUGUUGGCUAAUAGUUUUUGAAUUCCAUUUUCUUGUACUACUAUAUCUUCUAUGUUGUCUACUUGGUUCAAAUUCAGUAAUAUGUCUUUGUCUCCUGGGGCUGAGAAUGCUGAUGCAAAGUAUUUGUUUAGAAUGUUUGCUUUAGUUUCAUUAUGUAUUAUGUUAUGUUCAUCUUUUAAUGGCGCUACGCCUGUUGUUUCCAUUUUCUUAGACUUAAUGUAUGACCAUAGGUUUUUGUUGUUGUCUUUAGCUAUUACAUUGUUUAUGUAUUCACUCUGCAGCUGUCUGCUUACUUUUUGGGUUAAGUGUUUAAUUUUAUAUUUUUACUUUGAGAAAACUGUCAAAGAAAUACAUUUCAAUUCAUUGAUGAAGACACAUGUUGUGAUCCACACUUGAUUUUUGUUUCAUUCAUACUUGCAUUUAUGUGAAUUUUUGCGAAGGUGUAUUUUACAAUUUUACAUAAUUUUUUAGUAUAACUACAUAAUCUCUUAAUUUAUAUUCCUAUAUUUUAGCUUAUUACACACACACACACACAUAAUCCAAGUUUUUAAUUUCCUCACCAACCACAAGUUUGAGUGAUGAGUAAAAUUGUCUUCAUUCCAGAUAUAAAGUUGUAACAUGGGAAAAGAACUAUGUCACUUGUGAGAAGUUUGUUUUGAAAGCCCUGUUAUUAUAGUCUUUCAUUUUUUAAUUCAGAUCUAAUCUAGUCGUUAUGAAGAUCUAAUCAUCUUGGGUGUUAAAAAUUAAUCAUAUUGGAAAGCUAGUCAUUUUAAUUUUAUGAUAGUCAUUAUUCUGUUCUUUAUUUAAAAUUAUAUACAAAUGUUUUUUUUUAUAUUGUCUGCUGCAUGGGAACUGUGAUGACACUAAGGAUAAAUGGAAAUAAACUUGAAGGAACAUUUGAGCUUUAAUUGCAUUGAACAUAAAAGUAUCAACAAGAUUUUUUUUUCCUCCAGUCCCAUUGAGUGCUGAGAAAACUGAGAAGAUGAAGUAGGAUUGGUCAAAAAUAAUCUAAAUGAAGUAUGAUUGGUCAAAAAUAAUCUAAGACCUUAUGGGUAGUAGUGUUUUUAGUGGCUCCCUUAAGGAAAAGCCUCUCUUGUUUGUGCUGGCCUUCCAUGUCAUGCAAAGAUAUCAACAAAUAAAAGUGUUAUUAAAAGUAUAUUACCAUUACCCUCAUCCAGCUUGAAAUAGGUGCAAAAUGUUUAAUAGUAAAAUAAAAGAGGCAGUUUUUUGUUAUAUGGAUCUACAUUAUCUACAACUCUGAAAGAGGUUUAAAAAAAACAACUCAAGAUAGAUGUUGUUUUUUCCUCUGCAAAUUCUGUUAAUGAUAAUAAAGGCCUCUUAGUGAAGAAUUGAAUACCUCUGUUGUGAUUUUGAAUGAUAUGUGAGCCAGUACAUUUGACGAUUUGUGUUUUACAGAAAUUCUCUGUAUCAACUUUUUUUUUCUUGGUUUUCAACAUUGUUAACUUACAUUCUGAAUAAUAUUAAUUUGUUGAUAUAGCAAAUCACUAUUUCAUUUGAAGAACCAUGUGUAUCAUUCUGUUUUCCGGUGCAGUAUGUUCGCGCAUAUGACCCGCGGGUUAUACACGUUUUUACUAAAUUUAUUUUACUAAUAAUUAUAGCACAACGGGAACUAUGGACAUACCGGUGGGUCUUUAUAACUCCUAUAGUUCGCUGUGUGGUUGUGAAAUGUGCAUUGGAAAGCUUUAUAAACAUCUCAUUAUAAACUUCAAGAAAACAAAUAGUACCGAUGUGGCAGAGAAUCUUUACUAUAACUGUAAUCAAUUGUGACAGGCAAGUAAGCAUCUACCGAUACCGGUCAUAUCGAAACGUAUAGACUACAACGCAUGCAGUCUCACUAACGUCACUGUCCUCGCUAGACUUAGUGAAGCCAUCGAAACUUGAAUCCUAUUCACUCUCUUCCAAUAAACGAAGCAUGUUGGCAGCAGCAGCAGUUGUGUUAUAAAUCUCUCUUGUCUUCAUCAUCAUCAGUAACAGCGCUCACAUUGUUAGCCAAAAUGAAGCUGCCAUCUACUGCUGGCUCUGAAUUAGCUUCACUAAUUGUUAGUAAACCCGGCUUCUUGAAACCACUGCGAGUAGUUUCAUCGCUGAUUUGCUGCCAGCACCCAUUAGCUUCAGUGUAUAGAGCAGGUCUCUGUUCUCCUUCACUCAGUCAUAUCUCCCAUUCGUUGCGGACACUUGAAUGGAUGACAGCCAUGCUAAAUGGCUGAAGCUUACAUGUUAAGCCACAUGGAAUGUGCGCACCGGCCUUAUUGAUCUGUUUGUGAACAGACGGUUCAUUGUGCAGCCACAAAAUCAACAACGACUUUGGCAGCAAGAAUCCACUCUGUCUAGCACGAUACCAUCGUUCAGUCCACUCAUUCAUCACGUCCUUUUCUAUUGUACGGUACGAUUACUCCCUGAGGCAGUUUCUCACGUGGCAUUAUGUCACUCUUUUGAAUAUGAUCAUUGGUCUCAACUUGUCACGGGGAGCUCGCCAGGACAACCGUGAAGCAGGUGCGUUCAUGUCCAGUUGUGGUAAUAGCAACUGUUUUACACCCACUUUCCGCUACAGUGCGAUUAGCCAGAAUAACAAAUGACAUGGGUACCUCAAUCACCUCAUCCAGCGGAAGGAUUUCAAUUCUGUUCUACGAUAUCCUUUCUAACAAAAAGUCUUUAACUUUUAUUCCCCGAUUCCCAGUUUCUGGCCAACGAACGAACCAACAGCUGAUUAGUCUCAUGAAUUUAAAAAACCCAGUUGUUUCCACUAGUGAAAUUAUCCAUCUUUAUUUCAGCAGUCAUUAUUUUGGCCUUCAGUUUGAUACCAACAAUUGACACUGCCCUGUACUGCGAGGUUUGUCUCCAGCUGUGGCCACCUAACCUUUCCCCCCUCUAUGAGCUCUUUUGCUGGGAUUAAUUUGCUGUAGACUUUCAAUGUCUUUUCGCCAUUCGCGAACUGACUUUUCAUCGUCAUACAGUCUUCCGGCAGCGCUAUUGUAGCAGCAACUGCACAAACUUACAGCUUAAAAUCGGCUGUAUAUGAAUUACGCUUUGGUAUUUUCAGACUUUAAAAGCUCUACUGAGUAUGCUACUGAUUAUAAUUAAUAAACAUUAACUACACAUGCUGCACACUAAAGAAUACCCGUGUUGUUGAUUUCCCCUGCACAAUCUAGCAAAUAACUAGGUCAACGACUUACUGUCGAAACAACAUAGGCCUCUUACAGAUAUGGCCGUUGGCUCGUAUUUCACACGCAUGUUUCACUCUUAGUGGAAGCACAACUGGAGCACGACUGCGUUUCGAGGGACAGACGUCUGAUGAGCAACAACUUUAUGUCGCUUUGCACAUGCGGAUUAUAUGAGUGUGUGUUGUACGAUUUUGUUUUUACUAGUCUUGUACGGGGUACAUGCUAAAAAAUAGGGUACUUUUACUGAAGUUCUUUUAACGUCUCUAUUAAAUGAAGUUUGUACGACUAGUACAUUUGUAAAAGUACCUCUCUUAAAUUUAUCUUUCAGCUCUUGUUAUUUACAUCUAUGUAGUGCCAUUCUAAAUGGUUUGUUAUUUAAAUCCAAAACUCUUAAAAGUCUAGCAUAAGUUAAAACAUUUUAAUGUUAUACAAUGUGCAUACAAAAUAAACCUUAAGCGCAGUGGUACUAAAAUUUAUGAAAUAUUUAAACAUUUGUACAUGUAAAAAUAUGUACUUAAAAAUGUUAGAUUCUUUUUGACCCCCACAAUAUAAUUAGCAAUUUAAUUGACUUUAUAGCAUUAUUUAUUUAUUUGCGUUGCUGUCACAAGUAAGACUUAUUUGACUAAAGUGAUUAGUCCUGUUCAGUCAUCUUUUAGACAGCUAAGUUUUCAUCUUUUUGACAAUGUAUUGAUUGACAUUCUAAAUAUGUUUAUUAUGUCUGUGAUUGUAGAUAGUAUAGAUUUUUGGUGUAGCCAAACUAACUCAUUUCUACCUUUGUAUUAUGUUAUGCAGUGACUUUCACAAUAAGGACAUGUAAGAAACAACAAUUUUUAAAGUGGUACAUUAUUAACCUUGCAAGUUUGUGUCCUAAUUGUAUAUAUAAUGUUCUCAAAUGUUUGAGCCAUUAGAAAGAAUACAGUACUGCUCAAGCUUCUCAGUGCCUUACCAAUGGCAGCAAAAAUAUUCCUUAGAUCUACAUAGUUAUUAAGACAUGCCAACAUUGGAAUGUCUAAAGUAUUAUAAUUAUUAUAAAGCUAAAGCAUUAUUCUCUCUAGCUUCCUACUAAAACGAAAUAUUUUGUUAUUGUUGAUAUAUUUGUGUUUCCUGGGCAACGACUUGUAUUACUUUUAUCAUAAUCAGCUCAGCAAAAUAUUUGAUUUAUUACUUGUACUUGUAGGCUGUAUUUUGGAGUCACAUAUUGUGUCAUUUUAUAACUAUCUUGUGUAACUUUACAACUAUGUUUUUGUGUAACUAUUAUAACUAGAUUAAGAAAACCAAUAAAGAAAAGAUUAUUUUUUAAAAA